This 214-nucleotide unclassified non-coding RNA is filed under the name fungal sp. RNAcentral's name for it is "partial internal transcribed spacer region". Lineage: Eukaryota; Fungi. The record is from RNAcentral.
AGAAGGAGGUGGAUGAAUUUGCAAGACCGCGGAUCAGUGAGAUUGUGCGCGGUGCUAUGGACAAAGCUGUCCGUCGCGAGAAAAUGGAUACGAUCAAAGUGGAACUUGUUGAAAAAAUCACCGCCGAGAAAGGAGAAGAUUUUAUCGAAGAUCAUUCCGCAUUGAUUGAUCAUUAUUACGAAAAAUUAAAAAAGGAAAUCAUCCGUCAUCUUAU